This 406-nucleotide ribosomal RNA is filed under the name uncultured bacterium. RNAcentral's name for it is "partial 16S ribosomal RNA". It matches the Rfam family "Bacterial small subunit ribosomal RNA", at positions 30 to 526 of the family's 1533-position model. The record is from RNAcentral.
AUUGAACGCUGGCGGCAGGCUUAACACAUGCAAGUCGAGCGAGCGGCGGACGGGUGAGUAAUGUCUGGGAAACGGCCUGAUGGAGGGGGAUAACUACUGGAAACGGUAGCGAAUACCGCAUACCAUCAGAUGGGCCCAGAUGGGAUUAGCUAGUAGGUGGGGUAAUGGCUCACCUCGGCGACGAUCCCUAGCUGGUCUGAGAGGAUGACCAGCCACACUUGAACUGAGGGCCGGUCCAGACUCCUACGGGAGGCAGCGGUGCUGAAUAUUGGACAAUGGGCGCAAGCCUGAUGGAGCCAUGCCGCGUGUGUGAAGAAGGCCUUCGGGUUGUAAAGCACUUUCAGCGAGGAGGCGUUACUCGCAGAAGAAGCACCGGCUAACUCCGUGCCAGCAGCCGCGGUAAUUC